AAACCUCUAAAUCUAAGAUUACACAGACAAAAUCAAAUCAAACACCCAAAGUUGGCGCAAUGUUCUUGCAUGCAUGUCACAAGAAGAUUUUAUUACUAGACGUCAUUGUCCAUUGUUAACAUGAUGCUAGAGUGCAACUCUAGUUACAAACGAUGCAAACACAUUGACGUUGAAAAAAAGAUGUGCCGCCGACGCAGUAGGAUCCCUUGACAUGGCCCCACUCAUCCCUGCACAUACUCCGGCAAUAGUAAGGCAUGCACAUAAAGUCCGGUGUGCUGUGUGUUUCGCAAUGCUCUGUAGACAACAUACAUACAUCAGGAAAAGAAUUUCAAAUUGAAAGCGUCCAAAUGAAUUCAUGCAGUUGGGUUGACAAUAUUUAUAUGACUUGUUCUACUCCAAUUGAAAGGAGAAAAAAAGAGAACCACAAAUAUAGGAACAUAAAUUCCAUACCUGCGUGAGUGAAAUUUCCUAGUAGCACAAGGACCAUAAGACAAGGAAGAAGAAUUUUUCCUUCCAUAAGAUUAGACUAUCAAGGCUGAAUGCUUUUCUCUACUUGAAAAUGGCUUGGCUUUACAGCGAAGAGGUCAAC
Molecule: long non-coding RNA, 589 nt
Filed under: Triticum aestivum (bread wheat)
Lineage: Eukaryota; Viridiplantae; Streptophyta; Magnoliopsida; Poales; Poaceae
Description: long non-coding RNA (TAES_LNC012579)
Source: RNAcentral